GAAAUGCGAUAAUUCAUGUGAAUUGCAGAAUUCAGUGAAUCAUCGAGUCUUUGAACGCACAUUGCGCCCCCUGGUAUUCCGGGGGGCAUGCCUGUCCGAGCGUCAUUGCUGCCCUCAAGCACGGCUUGUGUGUUGGGCUUCCGUCCCUGGCAACGGGGACGGGCCCAAAAGGCAGUGGCGGCACCAUGUCUGGUCCUCGAGCGUAUGGGGCUUUGUCACCCGCUCCCGUAGGUCCAGCUGGCAGCUAGCCUCGCAACCAAUCUUUUUAACCAGGUUGACCUCGGAUCAGGUAGAGAUACCCGCUGAACUUAAGC
This 314-nucleotide unclassified non-coding RNA is filed under the name plant metagenome. Its description in RNAcentral is "partial contains 5.8S ribosomal RNA, internal transcribed spacer 2, and large subunit ribosomal RNA". The stretch from base 1 to 105 matches the Rfam family "5.8S ribosomal RNA", at positions 50 to 154 of the family's 154-position model. The record is from RNAcentral.